RNAcentral lists this non-coding RNA (183 nucleotides) under Enterococcus italicus DSM 15952. Its description in RNAcentral is "Enterococcus sRNA B11". It matches the Rfam family "Enterococcus sRNA B11". Rfam says of the family: Name 'Ref' stands for RNA in E. faecalis. The record is from Rfam by way of RNAcentral. Lineage: Bacteria; Bacillati; Bacillota; Bacilli; Lactobacillales; Enterococcaceae.
GGCAACUUGCCCCGAAAGGGGGUGUUGUUGUGUUUUACCAAAUCUUAUCGUUAAUCGUUGCGCCAAUACUUGUUGGCAUAGUCACUGAACUAUUUUCUCAUUGGUUAGAAGAGAAGGACAAAGACAACGAUUGAAAGCAAGUUGCUUGCUAACCCACACGCCAGAUUCGCGCCUGGUGCAAAA